RNAcentral lists this ribosomal RNA (258 nucleotides) under uncultured Stenotrophomonas sp. RNAcentral's name for it is "partial 16S ribosomal RNA". It matches the Rfam family "Bacterial small subunit ribosomal RNA", at positions 96 to 356 of the family's 1533-position model. Lineage: Bacteria; Pseudomonadati; Pseudomonadota; Gammaproteobacteria; Lysobacterales; Lysobacteraceae. The record is from RNAcentral.
UGGCGGACGGGUGAGGAAUACAUCGGAAUCUACUCUGUCGUGGGGGGAUAACGUAGGGAAACUUACGCUAAUACCGCAUACGACCUACGGGUGAAAGCAGGGGAUCUUCGGACCUUGCGCGAUUGAAUGAGCCGAUGUCGGAUUAGCUAGUUGGCGGGGUAAAGGCCCACCAAGGCGGCGAUCCGUAGCUGGUCUGAGAGGAUGAUCAGCCACACUGGAACUGAGACACGGUCCAGACUCCUACGGGAGGCAGCAGCG